UACGUAGGGGGCAAGCGUUGUCCGGAUUUAUUGGGCGUAAAGAGCGUGUAGGCGGCCAAGCAGGUCCGCUGUGAAAACUCGAGGCUCAACCUCGAGACGUCGGUGGAAACCGUUUGGCUAGAGUCCGGAAGAGGAGGGUGGAAUUCCUGGUGUAGCGGUGAAAUGCGUAGAUAUCAGGAGGAACACCGGCGGCGAAGGCGGCCCUCUGGAUCGUUGCUGACGCUGAUACGCGAAAGCGUGGGGAGCAAACAGG
RNAcentral lists this ribosomal RNA (253 nucleotides) under uncultured bacterium. Its description in RNAcentral is "partial 16S ribosomal RNA". It matches the Rfam family "Bacterial small subunit ribosomal RNA", at positions 524 to 776 of the family's 1533-position model. The record is from RNAcentral.